RNAcentral lists this ribosomal RNA (253 nucleotides) under uncultured bacterium. RNAcentral's name for it is "partial 16S ribosomal RNA". It matches the Rfam family "Bacterial small subunit ribosomal RNA", at positions 524 to 776 of the family's 1533-position model. The record is from RNAcentral.
UACGUAGGGAGCAAGCGUUGUCCGGAAUCAUUGGGCGUAAAGCGCGCGUAGGUGGCUUCGUAAGUCCGUUGUGAAAGUCAAAGGCUCAACCUUUGAAAGCCGAUGGAUACUGCGGAGCUAGAGUACGGAAGAGGCGAGUGGAAUUCCUGGUGUAGCGGUGGAACGCGCAGAUAUCAGGAGGAACACCAAUAGCGAAGGCAGCUCGCUGGGACGUUACUGACACUGAGGCGCGAAAGCGUGGGGAGCGAACAGG